Molecule: long non-coding RNA, 1365 nt
Filed under: Anolis carolinensis (green anole)
Lineage: Eukaryota; Metazoa; Chordata; Lepidosauria; Squamata; Anolidae
Description: lncRNA (ENSACAG00000035674.1)
Source: RNAcentral
AUGCACUCAUGGCUGGCUUCCCAAAAGGACCGGAGAAGGGGUCAGUCCUUUCCUUUCCCUCCUUCCUUCCCCUUUCUUCCUCCCUUCCCUUUUUAUUUUCCUUCCUUCCUUCCUUCCUUUCCUUCCCUUUUUUCCUUUUUCUUCCCUUCCAUUCCUUUGUCCUUCCAUUCUCCUCCUCCCUUUUUUCUUUUCCUUUCUUCCUUUUCUCCCUUUUUCCUUCCUUUCCUUCUUUUUUCUCUUUUCCCUUCCCUUUCCUCCCUUCUUCCUUUCCUUCUUUCCUUCCUUCCCUUUUCCUUUUCUUUCCCUUCCAUUCCUUUGUCCUUUCCUUCCAUUUUUCCUUCCUUUUUUCUUUUCCUUUCUUCCCUUCUUUAUUCAUUCUCUUUUCCCUUUCUUCCCUUUCCCUUUCCUUCUUUCCGUCCUUCCCUUUCUCUCCCUCCCUCCUUCCUUGCUUUCUUUACUAACUGGUCUUUCCUUCCUUCUUUGCUUUCUUUCCUAACUUGUCCUUCCUUCCUUCCUUCCUUCCUUCCUUCCUUCCUUCCUUUCUUUCCUAACUUGUCUUUCCUUCCUUCCUUCCUUCUUUUCUUCCUUCCUUCCUUCCUUCUUUUCCUUCCUUCCUCUUCUCUCCUCCCUUCCUUCAUCCCUUCCUUCCUUCCCUCCUUCACCUGGGCGUCCUUCUUUUCUUCGCAGGGCGUUCCUUCCUUCCUUCCUUCCUUCAGAGAGGAGGCGGCGUCUGGAGCGUCUCCCUUCUCUCCUCCUUCUCCGACUUUUCCUCCUUCUUUCUUUCUUUCUUUCUUUCUUUCUUCCCUCUGCCCUCGGGAUGCCCCUGGAGGCGCUCGUGGCGUGGGCGUGGGGCGGGGGUGGGGCGGGGGCGCGGGUGGGGCUGGCCCUGUCCUCCUGGCUGCCCCUGGCCCCCCUGGCCUGCGCCUUCUUCUCCGCCCGACUCCUCCUCCUCCUGCCCCCCACCACCAGCCCCGACUGCCGCCCCCACGGGACCCCCAACGCCUCCCAGGCAGAGGAUACUGGAGACACUGGAGGAGGGGGCUUCGCCAACGCCAGCUGGACCCUGCCCUGCGCCCUCCUCCGCACCACCGCCGUCACCCAGUGGGGCUUGGUCUGCUCCGAGCAAUGGAAGGUCCCCUUGGAACAAGCCACUUUCCUCCUGGGGUGGAUUCUGGGCUACCUGGGCUUCGGUUCGGUUUGCGACAGGUUCGGACGCCGGACUGCCUUCGUCACCUCGCUGGUGCUCUCCGUCCCGCUGGGCUUCGCAGUCUCUUUAGCCACAAGUUACGCCAUGUUUGUUCUCACUCACCUGCUCUUCGGGGCAACCUUGGCCGGCGCCUUCCUCUCCCUCUACGUUGGCAGUGA